UUGGAUGCCCUCGUUUUGUAGAUGCCUCUUUAUUUGUGCUGCUUAAAAGUAUUUUAACUAGUAUAGAGCAAAACAUUUAUUAUCUUUCAGUUGCAGCCCUAUUUACUAGAAUCCCAGAUUAGUGACUAGCCCCCUAAACCGCACAGCCACUAAUCCACUUCAACGGUUCCUCUGCCUCUGUUGAUGUUGGGUGCUUUCAGCCCCUAGUGAAUUCUGCCUCUUUAAUCUUGUUUGGUGCUGAUUUUUUUCUGCCAUUAGCUCUUUGGAUUGGAAUGUGGUUGCCUCAUAUUUUUUGGUCAUACUCUUUAAAGACAAGCAAAUAAACUUGGAGAGGGUAAGUAAGGUGACACAGGAGAUCUGAGAUAGAACUAGGACUUUUGCCAUUGAUCCUUGUCAUCAAAAGCACUCAUUAUUAACCUUAUCGUCAUUCUGUGGCAGGGUGUUUGAACAGCACAGGUUGAUUUAGAGAUGACUCAGGACAAUGUCAUUCUCUCCAGUUCUUUUAGCAAACAGCUGACCUAAGAAUAAAACUUAAGCAUCCAGAAUACCAUAAGAACACAGUCCAUAUUCAUAUUUAAGUUCAUCUGCAGCAUUUUUAUCACUUUUAGCUACAAUCAGGAUGCCUUUGAAGAAGUUAUUGUCCAACAGAUUUCCAUUUAAAGGAAAGGAUGUUUGUCAUGAAGGAAUUGAUUCAACAGAAAAACUACAGGAGACCCCAAAUUGAAAUCAGCAAGAGACCUUUAAAUUGCACAGAAUCAAAUUUCUAAAAACAUAAUUCUACCUGUAUUGUUGAAAAUAGAGCUCAAAAAUCCAUUAGCUCUUUGCAUUUUCCCCCAUUUUUGUAAUUAUUGUUAUCGCUUCCUCUAUUGUGAAGUCUCUAUUAUGUGAAUCCCAUUGAGGGCUGCCUUUCCAUCACCAUCAGCUCAUUGGUGCUGUCAACAUAGAGCUCCCAGGAGGCCUCACUGAGAAUCUGCUGGAAAAGAAGGGAAAUGUGAGCUUGAGGAGUCUUGCUAGCAGUGAGUGUUGCCAUGCCCACUGGAGCUAUGCUUAACCUAAAGAUUUCAGGACUCUUUUGACCUACAAAAACAUCUCGAGCAGAACACUCAGGUUUUGCUAUCUUUUUCACACUUUUUUCCCCCAGGAACAUGACCAGCCACAUUUUAAUGGCCACAGAGAAAAUAAAAUCUUUUCC
This 1192-nucleotide long non-coding RNA is filed under the name Callithrix jacchus (white-tufted-ear marmoset). Its description in RNAcentral is "lncRNA (ENSCJAG00000057104.2)". The record is from RNAcentral. Lineage: Eukaryota; Metazoa; Chordata; Mammalia; Primates; Cebidae.